AUUGAACGCUGGCGGCAUGCCUUACACAUGCAAGUCGAACGGCAGCACGGGAGCUUGCUCCUGGUGGCGAGUGGCGAACGGGUGAGUAGAGCAUCGGAACGUGCCCUGAAGUGGGGGAUAACGUAGCGAAAGUUACGCUAAUACCGCAUAUUCUGUGAGCAGGAAAGCAGGGGACCGCAAGGCCUUGUGCUUUAGGAGCGGCCGAUGUCGGAUUAGCUAGUUGGUGAGGUAAAGGCUCACCAAGGCGACGAUCCGUAGCGGGUCUGAGAGGAUGAUCCGCCACACUGGGACUGAGACACGGCCCAGACUCCUACGGGAGGCAGCAGUGGGGAAUUUUGGACAAUGGGCGCAAGCCUGAUCCAGCCAUGCCGCGUGAGUGAAGAAGGCCUUCGGGUUGUAAAGCUCUUUCGGCGGGGAAGGAAAUGGCGCGUUUCUAAUACAGAGCGUCGAUGACGGUACCCGUCCAUAAGAAGCACCGGCUAACUACGUACG
Molecule: ribosomal RNA, 492 nt
Filed under: uncultured bacterium
Lineage: Bacteria
Description: bacterial SSU rRNA
Rfam family: Bacterial small subunit ribosomal RNA
Source: RNAcentral